Molecule: ribosomal RNA, 499 nt
Filed under: uncultured bacterium
Lineage: Bacteria
Description: bacterial SSU rRNA
Rfam family: Bacterial small subunit ribosomal RNA
Source: RNAcentral
AGAGUUUGAUCCUGGCUCAGGAUGAACGCUAGCGGGAGGCCUAACACAUGCAAGCCGAGCGGUAUUGUUUCUUCGGAAAUGAGAGAGCGGCGUACGGGUGCGGAACACGUGUGCAACCUGCCUUUAUCUGGGGGAUAGCCUUUCGAAAGGAAGAUUAAUACUCCAUAAUAUAUUGAACGGCAUCGUUUAAUAUUGAAAGCUCCGGCGGAUAGAGAUGGGCACGCGCAAGAUUAGCUAGUUGGUGAGGUAACGGCUCACCAAGGCGAUGAUCUUUAGGGGCCUGAGAGGGUGAUCCCCCACACUGGUACUGAGACACGGACCAGACUCCUACGGGAGGCAGCAGUGAGGAAUAUUGGUCAAUGGGUGCAAGCCUGAACCAGCCAUCCCCGCGUGAAGGACGACUGCCCUAUGGGUUGUAAACUUCAUUUGUAUAGGGAUAAACCUACCCUCGUGAGGGUAGCUGAAGGUACUAUACGAAUAAGCACCGGCUAACUCCGUG